UUUUUUUUUUGGUUCCAUUUUAUUGGUGUUUUUGGUUUUGGCGGAUUUUCUUUCUUGACAUGUGAAAUACACAUGCAAUAUCCAUUCAAUUAUUAGAGUUAUGAUUACACUUUUUCAUAAGCCAAUAUAUGUUUACCAAUAAUUAACCAAAUUGACGAAUUUACUAUCUAUUGAAAUAUUCUUAUGUGUAAAAUUUUCUUCAUAAUACAUGCAUGAUCAUUAGUCCCUCGCAUUAAUCUAAUAAAAAAACGUAUAUUCAUAUACAUUUUCAAGGUUAACAAUAUUUUAAUGAUUAAAAAGAAUAAGCAAAUGACUCCCAUUUUUUUCAUAUUAUAGAACCAAAACUCAAUAUGGAACUUAAACAAUGAUAUGCUUCGAUGACUUUUAAGAAGUGUUAUUAAAACAUCUCAAAGUCGGAAAAUAUAUGAGUCUACAUGGAUCAUUUGGAUCAAAAGAAGAGGAGGAGAAUGGAGAAGAAGAAGAAAAAGAAAAGAAAGAAGUAUCACAUUAAUUUUAUUUUUAGAUUGCUGGAAAAGAAGUUAGUGUCAUUGACCACUAAUUAAUUACCAUAAUGACUAAUGAGAUGCUACGUCCGUCCCUCUUUGAUUGAUUUAGCAUGAUUAUGAUGAAUAAGUUGAAAAUAGGAGUUGAAUAAUACUUGUUGAAAAGCAAUCUCGUCUUUAGAGGAUAAAAAUUGUGUUGAGAAGAGUAAAAUUGGGUGUUAUCAUAAACCAAUAUUUUGAUUUUAGUUAAAAAUUUGUCAUAUUAGUUAUAAGAUUGUUUUACUCUCAUCUUUCGGGAAGGAAAGGAUAUUCAUAAUUACGUGUGAAUUGUUGCUCGCUUGAUUAGAGAAAUUAGCAAAACCUUUGGGAGUUAUGUCUCAUCCCCUACCUUUUCAGCAAAAUAUGCGAUAAGUCAUGGGAAAAAAGAAAAGGGGAAAGAAUUGAACUGACACAUGAUUUUACAAAAUGAAACUUAGCGCAAGCAGCACGUUUAAAAGGCAGCAAAUCGGGACAAAAAUUUUAAGCUUGUGACAAGUGAGAACUUUAUAUAGCAUGAAGGAAAGAAGAAAACAGAUGAGAGACAGAAAAAACGAACUUUAUUUAAGGAUAAACUUUAUUAAGGCCCUGAUUGACGACGUUACAUCUGACAUCCAACUCAAAAUUGCCGCUUUCCUGAUUGUGAUGAUGUCUCAGAAAAUUUGCAAAUAAAGGGCACGGAAAACAUUCAAUCACAGUGCUGAAUUCGAGCCACUUUGGCAAACUCCAAUAAUCUAGGAAUCAGAAACCUAGCAGUGUCAAGAAUAUUCAUCUAAAUGAACCAAAAAGACCAGAUGGUGAUUAUUUGCUAAUGUCCACAUGAAGUGAUUUUUUUCCCCUCAAAAAGUUGGAGCUCAGAGAAAAUAGAUCCUCCAGACUGCUCCAUCGCGUUCAUAUGCUGUUAUGUUAAGAUAGAU
RNAcentral lists this long non-coding RNA (1456 nucleotides) under Nicotiana tabacum (common tobacco). RNAcentral's name for it is "long non-coding RNA (NTAB_LNC005430)". The record is from RNAcentral. Lineage: Eukaryota; Viridiplantae; Streptophyta; Magnoliopsida; Solanales; Solanaceae.